AGAGUUUGAUCAUGGCUCAGGACGAACGCUGGCGGCGUGCUUAACACAUGCAGGUCGAGCGGUAAGGCCCUUCGGGGUACACGAGCGGCGAACGGGUGAGUAACACGUGAGUAACCUGCCCCUGACUCUGGGAUAAGCCCGGGAAACCGGGUCUAAUACCGGAUAUGACUCCUGCUCGCAUGGGUGGGGGUGGAAAGGUUGGUUUUCCUUCCGGUCGGGGAUGGGCUCGCGGCCUAUCAGCUUGUUGGUGGGGUGACGGCCUACCAAGGCGAUGACGGGUAGCCGGCCUGAGAGGGCGACCGGCCACACUGGGACUGAGACACGGCCCAGACUCCUGCGGGAGGCAGCAGUGGGGAAUAUUGCGCAAUGGGCGGAAGCCUGACGCAGCGACGCCGCGUGGGGGAUGAAGGCCUUCGGAUUGUAAACCUCUUUUACCACUCACGCAGGCCUUGGGUUUUCCUGGGGUUGACGGUAGGUGGUGAAUAAGGACCGGCUAGCUACGUGCCAGCAGCCGCGGUAAUACGUAGGGUCCGAGCGUUGUCCGGAAUUAUUGGGCGUAAAGAGCUCGUAGGCGGCCUGUCGCGUCUGCUGUGAAAGUCCGGGGCUUAACUCCGGGUGUGCAGUGGAUACGGGCAGGCUUGAGGUAGGUAGGGGAGACUGGAAUUCCUGGUGUAGCGGUGAAAUGCGCAGAUAUCAGGAGGAACACCGGUGGCGAAGGCGGGUCUCUGGGCCUUACCUGACGCUGAGGAGCGAAAGCGUGGGGAGCGAACAGGAUUAGAUACCCUGGUAGUCCACGCCGUAACGUUGGGCGCUAGGUGUGGGGACUUUCCACGGUUUCCGUGCCGUAGCUAACGCAUUAAGCGCCCCGCCUGGGGAGUACGGCCGCAAGGCUAAAACUCAAAGGAAUUGACGG
RNAcentral lists this ribosomal RNA (913 nucleotides) under uncultured bacterium. Its description in RNAcentral is "bacterial SSU rRNA". It matches the Rfam family "Bacterial small subunit ribosomal RNA", at positions 8 to 916 of the family's 1533-position model. The record is from RNAcentral.